GUGCCUACGGGACGCAGCAGUGAGGAAUAUUGGUCAAUGGUCGGGAGACUGAACCAGCCAAGCCGCGUGAGGGAGGAAGGUACAGAGUAUCGUAAACCUCUUUUGUCAGGGAACAAAGGCGGGGACGUGUCCCCGGAUGAGUGUACCUGAAGAAAAAGCAUCGGCUAACUCCGUGCCAGCAGCCGCGGUAAUACGGAGGAUGCGAGCGUUAUCCGGAUUUAUUGGGUUUAAAGGGGGCGCAGGCGGUCUGUUAAGUCAGCGGUGAAAGGCCGGGGGUCAACCCCGGACCGCCGUUGCAAACGGGG
RNAcentral lists this ribosomal RNA (305 nucleotides) under uncultured bacterium. Its description in RNAcentral is "bacterial SSU rRNA". It matches the Rfam family "Bacterial small subunit ribosomal RNA", at positions 335 to 637 of the family's 1533-position model. The record is from RNAcentral.